UACGUAGGGGGCAAGCGUUGUCCGGAUUUAUUGGGCGUAAAGAGCGUGUAGGCGGCCAGGUAGGUCAGCUGUGAAAACUCGAGGCUCAACCUCGAGACGUCGGUUGAAACCACCUGGCUAGAGUCCGGAAGAGGAGAGUGGAAUUCCUGGUGUAGCGGUGAAAUGCGCAGAUAUCAGGAGGAACACCCGUAGCGAAGGCGGCACUCUGGGCCGAUUCUGACACUGAGGAGCGAAAGCGUGGGGAGCGAACAGG
This 253-nucleotide ribosomal RNA is filed under the name uncultured bacterium. RNAcentral describes it as "partial 16S ribosomal RNA". It matches the Rfam family "Bacterial small subunit ribosomal RNA", at positions 524 to 776 of the family's 1533-position model. The record is from RNAcentral.